CCUACGGGAGGCAGCAGUGGGGAAUCUUGCGCAAUGGGGGAAACCCUGACGCAGCAACGCCGCGUGGGUGAUGAAGGCCUUCGGGUCGUAAAGCCCUGUCAGGUGGAAAGAAAUGUGUGGAUGCGAAUAACAUCCUCACUUGACGGUACCACCGGAGGAAGCACCGGCUAACUCCGUGCCAGCAGCCGCGGUAAUACGGAGGGUGCAGGCGUUGUUCGGAGUUAUUGGGCGUAAAGCGCGUGUAGGUGGUUGGGCAAGUCAGAUGUAAAAGCCCUCGGCUUAACGGAGGAAGUGCAUUUGAAACUGCCCAGCAAGAGUACGGGGGAGGAGAGUGAAAUUCCGGGUGUAGAGGUAAAACUCGUAGAUAUCGGAAGGAACACCAGUGGCGAGGGCGGCUCUCGGAACCGAUACUGACACUGAGACGCGAAAGCGGGGGGAGCAAACGGGAUUAGAUACCCCUGUAGU
RNAcentral lists this ribosomal RNA (465 nucleotides) under uncultured delta proteobacterium. RNAcentral describes it as "partial 16S ribosomal RNA". It matches the Rfam family "Bacterial small subunit ribosomal RNA", at positions 338 to 794 of the family's 1533-position model. The record is from RNAcentral. Lineage: Bacteria; Deltaproteobacteria.